RNAcentral lists this ribosomal RNA (730 nucleotides) under uncultured bacterium. RNAcentral describes it as "bacterial SSU rRNA". It matches the Rfam family "Bacterial small subunit ribosomal RNA", at positions 198 to 917 of the family's 1533-position model. The record is from RNAcentral.
GUUUAAAAGGUGCAAAUGCAUCACUACCAGAUGGACCUGCGUUGUAUUAGCUAGUAGGUGAGGUAACGGCUCACCUAGGCGACGAUACAUAGCCGACCUGAGAGGGUGAUCGGCCACACUGGGACUGAGACACGGCCCAGACUCCUACGGGAGGCAGCAGUAGGGAAUCUUCGGCAAUGGGGGGAACCCUGACCGAGCAACGCCGCGUGAGUGAAGAAGGUUUUCGGAUCGUAAAGCUCUGUUGUUAAGGAAGAACGAGUGUGAGAAUGGAAAGUUCAUACUGUGACGGUACUUAACCAGAAAGGGACGGCUAACUACGUGCCAGCAGCCGCGGUAAUACGUAGGUCCCGAGCGUUGUCCGGAUUUAUUGGGCGUAAAGCGAGCGCAGGCGGUUAGAUAAGUCUGAAGUUAAAGGCAGUGGCUCAACCAUUGUAGGCUUUGGAAACUGUUUAACUUGAGUGCAGAAGGGGAGAGUGGAAUUCCAUGUGUAGCGGUGAAAUGCGUAGAUAUAUGGAGGAACACCGGUGGCGAAAGCGGCUCUCUGGUCUGUAACUGACGCUGAGGCUCGAAAGCGUGGGGAGCGAACAGGAUUAGAUACCCUGGUAGUCCACGCCGUAAACGAUGAGUGCUAGGUGUUAGGUCCUUUCCGGGACUUAGUGCCGCAGCUAACGCAUUAAGCACUCCGCCUGGGGAGUACGACCGCAAGGUGAAACUCAAAGGAAUUGACGGG